RNAcentral lists this ribosomal RNA (856 nucleotides) under Flavobacterium sp. GUAF 6005. RNAcentral describes it as "bacterial SSU rRNA". It matches the Rfam family "Bacterial small subunit ribosomal RNA", at positions 22 to 883 of the family's 1533-position model. Lineage: Bacteria; Pseudomonadati; Bacteroidota; Flavobacteriia; Flavobacteriales; Flavobacteriaceae. The record is from RNAcentral.
GCUCAGGAUGAACGCUAGCGGCAGGCUUAACACAUGCAAGUCGAGGGGUAGAGGCCUUCGGGCCUUGAGACCGGCGCACGGGUGCGUAACGCGUAUGCAAUCUGCCUUCCACAGAGGGAUAGCCCAGAGAAAUUUGGAUUAAUACCUCAUAGCAUCAUGACCCGGCAUCGGGAUAUGAUUAAAGUCACAACGGUGGAAGAUGAGCAUGCGUCCCAUUAGCUAGUUGGUAAGGUAAUGGCUUACCAAGGCUACGAUGGGUAGGGGUCCUGAGAGGGAGAUCCCCCACACUGGUACUGAGACACGGACCAGACUCCUACGGGAGGCAGCAGUGAGGAAUAUUGGUCAAUGGGCGCAAGCCUGAACCAGCCAUGCCGCGUGCAGGAUGACGGUCCUAUGGAUUGUAAACUGCUUUUGUACGGGAAGAAACCCUCCUACGUGUAGGAGCUUGACGGUACCGUAAGAAUAAGGAUCGGCUAACUCCGUGCCAGCAGCCGCGGUAAUACGGAGGAUCCAAGCGUUAUCCGGAAUCAUUGGGUUUAAAGGGUCUGUAGGCGGUCUUGUAAGUCAGUGGUGAAAGCCCAUCGCUCAACGGUGGAACGGCCAUUGAUACUGCUGGACUUGAAUUAUUGGGAAGCAACUAGAAUAUGUAGUGUAGCGGUGAAAUGCUUAGAGAUUACAUGGAAUACCAAUUGCGAAGGCAGGUUGCUACCAAUGGAUUGACGCUGAUGGACGAAAGCGUGGGUAGCGAACAGGAUUAGAUACCCUGGUAGUCCACGCCGUAAACGAUGGAUACUAGCUGUUGGGCGCAAGUUCAGUGGCUAAGCGAAAGUGAUAAGUAUCCCACCCUGGGGAGUAC